This 274-nucleotide long non-coding RNA is filed under the name Gossypium barbadense (sea-island cotton). RNAcentral's name for it is "long non-coding RNA (GBAR_LNC004550)". The record is from RNAcentral. Lineage: Eukaryota; Viridiplantae; Streptophyta; Magnoliopsida; Malvales; Malvaceae.
GGGAACAUGACCAUGGUACACACCUGUGCACUAGGCUGUGUCCUCCACAUGGUUGAGACACACAUCCGUGUCUAUGCACGUGUGGUUACUACUGGGUAGUCUAUUUUGCCAACUUUAGGUGCAGGGAACACAUGGCCUUUCCACACGCCCAUGGGGCAAGCCGUGUGUCACACAUGGUUUAGGCUCACGCCCGUGUGUCUUCCCAUGUGGCCAAAAAUAAGGCUAUUUACCAAGCCUUUUUAUCACCCUUACUUGCACCAACCUACACAACAUC